Molecule: ribosomal RNA, 268 nt
Filed under: uncultured prokaryote
Description: partial 16S ribosomal RNA
Rfam family: Bacterial small subunit ribosomal RNA
Source: RNAcentral
UACGGAGGGUGCGAGCGUUAAUCGGAAUUACUGGGCGUAAAGCGCGCGUAGGCGGUCUUUCAAGUCAGGAGUGAAAGGCUACGGCUCAACCGUAGUAAGCUUUUGGAACUGUAAGACUUGAGUGCAGGAGAGGAGAGUGGAAUUCCUAGUGUAGCGGUGAAAUGCGUAGAUAUUAGGAGGAACACCAGUAGCGAAGGCGGCUCUCUGGACUGUAACUGACGCUGAGGCACGAAAGCGUGUGGAGCAAACAGGAUUAGAUACCCGGGUA